Molecule: small nuclear RNA, 125 nt
Filed under: Tupaia belangeri chinensis (Chinese tree shrew)
Lineage: Eukaryota; Metazoa; Chordata; Mammalia; Scandentia; Tupaiidae
Description: Tupaia chinensis (Chinese tree shrew) U4 spliceosomal RNA
Rfam family: U4 spliceosomal RNA
About the family: U4 small nuclear RNA (U4 snRNA) is a component of the major U2-dependent spliceosome. The structure of U4 snRNA from yeast and human has been reported.
Source: Rfam by way of RNAcentral
AUUUUUGUGCAGAGGCAAUAUUGCAGCUAAUGAGGUUCUAAUCAAAGCACGAUUAUUGCUGAUUUAAAGUUGCCAUCAUUGCUAAUGUACAAUUAGGUGAGGUAACAUUUUAACAUAAAAUUUUA